Molecule: ribosomal RNA, 479 nt
Filed under: uncultured bacterium
Lineage: Bacteria
Description: partial 16S ribosomal RNA
Rfam family: Bacterial small subunit ribosomal RNA
Source: RNAcentral
GACGAACGCUGGCGGCGUGCUUAACACAUGCAAGUCGAACGAUGAACCCGGAGCUUGCUCCGGUGGAUUAGUGGCGAACGGGUGAGUAACACGUGAGUAACCUGCCCUUGACUCUGGGAUAACUGCGGGAAACUGUAGCUAAUACCGGAUACGACCCUCGGCGGCAUCGCCAGGGGGUGGAAAGAAUUUCGGUCAAGGAUGGACUCGCGGCCUAUCAGCUAGUUGGUGAGGUAACGGCUCACCAAGGCGACGACGGGUAGCCGGCCUGAGAGGGUGACCGGCCACAGUGGGACUGAGACACGGCCCAGACUCCUACGGGAGGCAGCAGUGGGGAAGUUUCCACAAUGGGCGAAAGCCUGAUGGAGCAACGCCGCGUGCAGGAUGAAUGCCUUCGGGUUGUAAACUGCUUUUAUCUGUGACGAAUAUGACGGUAGCAGACGAAUAAGGAUCGGCUAACUCCGUGCCAGCAGCCGCCGUAA